Molecule: non-coding RNA, 85 nt
Organism: Pseudophryne corroboree (corroboree frog)
Lineage: Eukaryota; Metazoa; Chordata; Amphibia; Anura; Myobatrachidae
Source: the annotation of a RefSeq genome assembly
ACCAGAAUGGCCGAGUGGUUAAGGCGUUGGACUUAAGAUCCGAUGGAUAUAUAUCCACGUGGGUUCGAACCCCACUUCUGCUGUG